AGCACCCAAUGGUCUCGGAGUAC
This 23-nucleotide non-coding RNA is filed under the name Arabidopsis thaliana (thale cress). The record is from RNAcentral. Lineage: Eukaryota; Viridiplantae; Streptophyta; Magnoliopsida; Brassicales; Brassicaceae.